Molecule: unclassified non-coding RNA, 288 nt
Filed under: uncultured Glomerales
Lineage: Eukaryota; Fungi; Glomeromycota; Glomeromycetes; Glomerales; Glomeraceae
Description: sequence contains 5.8S rRNA gene, ITS2, 28S rRNA gene
Source: RNAcentral
AACGCAAAUUGCACUCUCUGGUACUUCGGAGAGUAUGCCUAUUUGAGGGUCGAUUUAAGUACAAAUCGGUGUGUUCUUGUCGAACACGUCGGAAUUGGGUGAUCUCGAAUCUUCGAGUUUGAGUGACCUAAAAUUUAUCAUCACUUCGGUAUGAUUGCGUACUUAAAUUCGUCGCUUCAAAUGCCGAAAACGUAUUUACUAGACGUAACCAUUCAUUAUGUGAUGGCAUUAUGUCUAUAAUUUUCGAUUUUCGACCUCAAAUUAGGUAAGAGUACCCGCUGAACUUAA